RNAcentral lists this ribosomal RNA (244 nucleotides) under Miconia indicoviolacea. RNAcentral describes it as "partial 28S ribosomal RNA". It matches the Rfam family "Eukaryotic large subunit ribosomal RNA", at positions 1 to 242 of the family's 3401-position model. Lineage: Eukaryota; Viridiplantae; Streptophyta; Magnoliopsida; Myrtales; Melastomataceae. The record is from RNAcentral. RNAcentral also lists the same sequence under 2 other names.
GCGAUCCCAGGUCAGGCGGGGCUACCCGCUGAGUUUAAGCAUAUCAAUAAGCGGAGGAAAAGAAACUAACGAGGAUUCCCUUAGUAGCGGCGAGCGAACCGGGAAGAGCCCAGCGUGAAAAUCGUCCGUCAUCGGCGGCCGAAUUGUAGUCUGGAGAAGCGUCCUCAGUGACGGACCGGACCCAAGUUCACUGGAAGGUGGCGCCGGAGAGGGUGAGAGCCCCGUCGUGUCCGGACCCUGUCGC